CCUACGGGAGGCAGCAGUGAGGAAUAUUGGUCAAUGGACGCAAGUCUGCACCAGCCAUGCCGCGUGCAGGAAGACUGCCCUAUGAGUUGUAAACUGCUUUUGUACGAGGGUAAACGCAGAUACGCGUAUCUGUUUGAAAGUACCGUACGAAUAAGGAUCGGCUAACUCCGUGCCAGCAGCCGCGGUAAUAAGGAGGAUUCAAGCGUUAUCCGGAUUUAUUGGGUUUAAAGGGUGCGUAGGCGGGUGGAUAAGUUACGGGUGAAAUCCCGAGGCCCAACCUCGGAAUUGCCGUUGAUACUGUUCGGCUAGAGAGUAGUUGCGGUAGGCGGAAUGUAUGGUGUAGCGAUGAAAUGCUUAGAGAUCAUACAGAACCCCGAUUGCGAAGGCAGCUUACCAAGCUACUUCUGACGUUGAGGCACGAAAGCGUGGGGAGCAAACAGGAUUAGAUACCCGGGUAGUC
This 460-nucleotide ribosomal RNA is filed under the name uncultured bacterium. RNAcentral's name for it is "partial 16S ribosomal RNA". It matches the Rfam family "Bacterial small subunit ribosomal RNA", at positions 338 to 795 of the family's 1533-position model. The record is from RNAcentral.